This 391-nucleotide ribosomal RNA is filed under the name uncultured bacterium. RNAcentral's name for it is "bacterial SSU rRNA". It matches the Rfam family "Bacterial small subunit ribosomal RNA", at positions 30 to 419 of the family's 1533-position model. The record is from RNAcentral.
AUUGAACGCUGGCGGCAUGCCUUACACAUGCAAGUCGAACGGCAGCACGGGAGCUUGCUCCUGGUGGCGAGUGGCGAACGGGUGAGUAAUGCAUCGGAACGUGCCCUGAAGUGGGGGAUAACGUAGCGAAAGUUACGCUAAUACCGCAUAUUCUGUGAGCAGGAAAGCAGGGGAUCUUCGGACCUUGCGCCUUUGGAGCGGCCGAUGUCGGAUUAGCUAGUUGGUGGGGUAAAGGCCCACCAAGGCGACGAUCCGUAGCGGGUCUGAGAGGAUGAUCCGCCACACUGGAACUGAGACACGGUCCAGACUCCUACGGGAGGCAGCAGUGGGGAAUUUUGGACAAUGGGCGCAAGCCUGAUCCAGCCAUGCCGCGUGAGUGAAGAAGGCCUUC